RNAcentral lists this unclassified non-coding RNA (220 nucleotides) under uncultured bacterium. RNAcentral describes it as "contains 16S-23S intergenic spacer region". It matches the Rfam family "Bacterial small subunit ribosomal RNA", at positions 976 to 1195 of the family's 1533-position model. The record is from RNAcentral.
UGGGCUUGACAUGGCGCUGCAAGCGCACGGAAACGUGUGACCUUCGAGGGUGCGCCACAGAUGCUGCAUGGCUGUCGUCAGCUCGUGUCGUGAGAUGUUGGGUUAAGUCCCGCAACGAGCGCAACCCUCGCCCUUAGUUGCCAUCAUUUGGUUGGGCACUCUAAGGGGACUGCCGGUGAUAAGCCGAGAGGAAGGUGGGGAUGACGUUCCAAGGUUGGUU